UAUGAAAAGAAUGUGGUACAACAUGUGUUUAGUUUUUUUAUUGAUAUUUCAGAGUUUUCGUAUGUGAGGUAAUCUUGCUGGGAGUGAAGGCAGUGCGUAUGACUGCUUGAUAUGAAAGACACAUCCUGUUUUAAAAGGUGGAUCAUGAGUGAAGCUCUGGAGGUCUGCCAUUGGCUUGAUAACAGUGGUUAUGUGAAUUGAGUGAAUUCAAUUUAUAAAUAAAUCUUUCACCAAGCAUUCACCUAUUUACUGACAAAACAGAUCCAAAUCUUGUUCAGCCUGAUGCUCAACCUUGUAUGAUGAUGACCACAGCCAGGUGAUGGAGAUCUGUGUUAAUCACAGCCUGCGUCUCAAGAUCAACAUGACAAUAGCAGACCAUUUCUUAUCUUACUCUUAUCUGACUAAAUGUUCAGCAUCAUUGACACAAAACAAAGAACAUUAGAUGGAGUAUUGGAGUAUUGGAUGAUCCCGUAAAGAAAAUAAUAUGGACUUUUUUGGUGAGAUUCUACAAAGAUUGACACAAUCCUAUUGUCUUUUAUUUUUACAGUUAAUAAUGCAUUAUAAACAUCCCAUUCAUUUGUAUUCUAUGUCAUCGAUCUGUUUGUGCUAAAAUGUAUACAUCUGAAUGUAAUGUCAAUAAUAUGUUAAUAUUCAGGAUUUAUUAUCAUAUGCAUGUUUUGAUGUUGGAUGUCAUGAUUUUAUUGAUUUCAUGUAAUUGUUGUCUAUUUAAAAUGAUUUUAAUUGCCAAAUUUUAUUGUUAAUUUAUUUAAUAUUGAAGCUGUUAUUUAACAG
This is a non-coding RNA of Misgurnus anguillicaudatus (oriental weatherfish), 792 nucleotides long. Lineage: Eukaryota; Metazoa; Chordata; Actinopteri; Cypriniformes; Cobitidae. The record is from RefSeq and is a predicted model, not a curated record.